UACAGAGGGUGCAAGCGUUAAUCGGAAUUACUGGGCGUAAAGCGUGCGUAGUCGGUUAUCUAAGUCGGAUGUGAAAUCCCCGGGCUCAACCUGGGAAUUGCAUUCGAUACUGGAUAGCUAGAGUUCGGCAGAGGGAAGCGGAAUUUCGGGUGUAGCGGUGAAAUGCGUAGAUAUCCGAAGGAACAUCAGUGGCGAAAGCGGCUUCCUGGACCAGAACUGACGAUCAGGCACGAAAGCGUGGGGAGCAAACAGGAUUAGAAACCCCAGUAGUCC
This 273-nucleotide ribosomal RNA is filed under the name uncultured prokaryote. RNAcentral's name for it is "partial 16S ribosomal RNA". It matches the Rfam family "Bacterial small subunit ribosomal RNA", at positions 524 to 796 of the family's 1533-position model. The record is from RNAcentral.